Molecule: ribosomal RNA, 1545 nt
Filed under: Peribacillus deserti
Lineage: Bacteria; Bacillati; Bacillota; Bacilli; Caryophanales; Bacillaceae
Description: bacterial SSU rRNA
Rfam family: Bacterial small subunit ribosomal RNA
Source: RNAcentral
GGAUACCUCCUAUAGCUAUACAUGCAAGUCGAGCGGAUUGGAAGGAAGCUUGGUUGCUAAAGUCAGCGGCGGAAGGGUUGAGUAAACGUGGGCUAUUUGCGCGUAAGAAUCGGGAUAGCUUCGGGAGGCCGGAGCUAAUAUGGAUAUGAGUAUUGUUUUACAUGAGAGAUUAUGGAAAGAGGGUUUUCGGCUGUCACUUAGGGAUGGGCCCGCGGCGCAUUAGCUAGUUUGGUGAGGUAACGGCUCACCAAGGCGACGAUGCGUAGCUUACCUGAGAGGGUGAUCGGCCACACUGGGGACUGAGACACGGCCCAGACUCCUACGGGAACCAGGAAGCGGGAGCGGAAGACGCCGCGCCAUGGGCUGGAAGGCUGAGCGACCAACGUUUUCUGAGUUGGUAAAGCUUCUGUUCGUCUGGAAAAUUCCUGAUGAUAGGGGAAAAAAAGUAACAUAUUGUAACUUUUGUGACCGAAACUAUACCGUACCACACCGCCAAGGGCUAACUGACGUGCCCAGCCAGCCGCGGUAAUACCGUUAGGUGGGCAAGGCGUCGUCCAGGUAUUUAUUGGGGUCGUAAAGGCGCGACGGCAGGGCGGUCCUUUUGGAAGUUCUGAUGUGCAAGACCCAACGGCUCCAACCCGUGGAAGGGUCAUUGGAAACCUGGGAGACCUUGAGUGCAGAAGAUGGAGAGUGGAAUUCCACGUGUAGACGGUGAAAGGCGUAAAGAUGUGGAGGAACACCCAGUGGCGAAGGCGACUCUCUGGUCUGUAACUGACGCUGAGGCGCGGAAGCGUGGGGGAGCGGACAGGAUUAGAUAUCCCUGGUAGUCCACGCCGUAAACGAUGAGUGCUGAGUGUUAAAGGGUUUCCGCCCUUUAGUGCUGCAGCUUACGCAUUAAGCACUCCGCCUUGGGGAGUACCGGCCGCAAAGCUGAAACUCAAAGGAAGUGACGGGGGGCCCGCCCACACGGUGGAGCAUGUGUGUUAAUGCGUAGCAACGCGCAGAACCUUACCAGCCUUGGACAUACUCUGACACUCCUACAGAUAGGACGUUCCCCUUCGGGGGAGAGAGAGACAGGCGGGGGAUGGAUGUCGUCAUCUCUCGUCUUGCAGAAGUUGUGUUAAUUACCGCCACAACGGCAGCACCCCUUAACUUAAUUUGCCACCAUCAAUUGGGGCCCCUUAAGGGAACUGCCGGUGACAAACCGGAGGAAGGUGGGGAUGACGUCAAAUCAUCAUGCCCCUUAUGACCUGGGCUACACACGUGCUACAAUGGAUGGUACAAAGGGCAGCAAAGCCGCGAGGCCGAGCCAAUCCCAUAAAGCCAUUCUCAGUUCGGAUUGCAGGCUGCAACUCGCCUGCAUGAAGCCGGAAUCGCUAGUAAUCGCGGAUCAGCAUGCCGCGGUGAAUACGUUCCCGGGCCUUGUACACACCGCCCGUCACACCACGAGAGUUUGUAACACCCGAAGUCGGUGGGGUAACCUUUUGGAGCCAGCCGCCUAAGGUGGGACAGAUGAUUGGGGCGAAGUCGAACAAUGCAGACGCC